GAGAGAAAGAGCGCUUGUAGCUUUCAUUGUAUGGGUGUUCUGGGCCAGACAACUUGAGAUGGCGUUUCUCAAGGCUAUCAGGCAAUAAACAGCUUCCAAUGCCCCAGAUAAAACUGGACAUGUGGUUUGAAUACGUCCAAUUUGGAUGAGAUGCCUUUGGGAUACUGCAAACAAUUACCAUGCAGCUAGUCUUGCUUCUCUAUUAAUCCAGGCAGAUGUUUUCACAUUAUGAUAUCUACAAAAAGACAAGCAAAUGCAAGCUCCUACAGAAUAUCAUAAGGAAACGUGAUUUGCUCCAUUGAAGAUAUCCUUCCCCUGAAAACAUUUCAACUAGCAUCAGAUUUCUUUGUUGCUUAUUUUCUUCACGUUUGAUUCAGAGCAACAUGUAAUAUUGCUUUAUAUUAAUUAUUUUUCACUACGGUGCAUAAAAGCCAAAAUGUAGCAUGGGCAAAAUGGGAAGUCAUUCAAAAGGCAUUUUUUAACAGGCAGUGUGUGAAUUUCUCUGGAAAGAUUUCUGUUCCUUUUCAGACUGCCAAAUUAAUUGAAAUGUCAAAAUCAGCUUAAAACGGCAGAAAAGACCCCUUUAUUCUAAUGGUGCUGAAGCAGGAAAAUUCAAACAAGACAUUGGAGACCACACAGUGAGAAAGCCCACAAACAUCAGUUCCUAAUCUCACUCCUCUAGUUAUCUCUCUCUU
Molecule: long non-coding RNA, 695 nt
Organism: Sinocyclocheilus grahami
Lineage: Eukaryota; Metazoa; Chordata; Actinopteri; Cypriniformes; Cyprinidae
Exons: 2
Source: RefSeq, a predicted model, not a curated record